CCCUUAGGUGUUCUGGGCCGCACGCGUGCUACACUGAGUGGAUCAGCGGGUCAGGUUGCGCGAAAGUGUUUCCUAAUCUUGAAAUCCGCUCGUGAUGGGGAUUGACGGUUGCAAUUUUCCGUCAUGAACGAGGAAUACCUUGUAAGCGCGGGUCAUCAUCCCGCGCUGAAUACGUCCCUGCCCUUUGUACACACCGCCCGUCGCUCCUACCGAUUGAGUGGUCCGGUGAGGCUUUGGGAUCUGAGCGGAAAGAGCGUUUCGCUGUUUCUGCUCGGAAAACUCAGUCGAACCUUAUCAUUUAGAGGAAGGAGAAGUCGUAACA
RNAcentral lists this ribosomal RNA (322 nucleotides) under uncultured eukaryote. RNAcentral's name for it is "partial 18S ribosomal RNA". It matches the Rfam family "Eukaryotic small subunit ribosomal RNA", at positions 1470 to 1796 of the family's 1831-position model. The record is from RNAcentral.